Molecule: long non-coding RNA, 5723 nt
Filed under: Nicotiana benthamiana
Lineage: Eukaryota; Viridiplantae; Streptophyta; Magnoliopsida; Solanales; Solanaceae
Description: long non-coding RNA (NBEN_LNC039606)
Source: RNAcentral
UAGAUUUGAGCCUUAAUAAAUUGCGUUAUUUUAGGGUGCAACAUCAGCAAAGAUUUCGUUUGGUACAUAUUUUGUAACAAAAACAUGGGAUAUGAGGGUAAUAACCAAACAAGGCACAAUAAUGGUAAUAAUGUUUGCUAUAUGAGAUCUAUAGGUAAAAAUCCCUAAAAUUAAAAGUCAAAUUUAUGAUCAAAUUCACCAAGCCCAAUCUUCUUGGCCCAAUUAACCCUUAGACCCAAAUCUUUCUUCUUGAUAUACAAACUAGACCUAACCCUAGAGAGAAUCCCUAAGCCCUAGAAGACCUUUAGCCGUCCCUAUCUUCCUCUGCACCUAGACCUCACCCCAAGAGAAGACCCCAAUCCCCGUAGUUGCUGCCCCUUCUGCCGCCCACCGCACAGACAGACCCCUGACUUCACAAACGCCAACAAACAGAAGCCAUUAGCGAAAAAUGACCCUCCAAGUUACACAACAGCCGCUGCCCAAACUGCCGAAAAGCAACCUCAUUCCAUUGUAUAUCUCGCCGGCAACCGCACACACGCUGAUGGAAACGAAACUGACAGAAGGAAAGAGGACAACGGCCAUCUAAUCUCUAAGGAUUUGAGAGUUUUUUCUUUUGUAUUUGUUUCUCUGAGUUUUCAAAACAUAUAUAUAUUUUUUCUUUUGUAUUUGUUUCUCUGAUUUUUCAAAACAUAUAUAUAUAUAUAUAUAUAUAUAUAUAUAUAUAUAUAUUAUGUUUCCUCUUUGCGAUUCUGAGUUCUUGGUUUCUAAAUGGAGUUUGACUGAGCUUUGGUUACCAUUUGAGUUGUGAUCCGCGGUUCCUGUAGAAGUUCGGCAAUUCUGUUUGAUUGUGUAUUAGUUGACCAGAGGGAGGGAUCGGUGAGACAUUUGAAGAAGAAAGAAAAUUCUAAUAUUUUUGAUAUAAGUGGAGCAACUAAUUAAGCAAUUGAUUUCUCGUUCUUGCUCUCAAUAAAGGAAGUUUGAUUUGCGACUUUAAUUUUGGACAAGCUUUCCGGUGCUGAUUCGAGUUUCUAUCCGUGGUUUCGUUAUAUUUUUGAGUUCAAAGCAGUGAAACAAUCAAUUUUCAGCUACACUGAGGUUCAAUUCUAACUUUAUUUCUCCUCAAUGCUUGAUUACUUUAUCAUUUGCUUGACAUCAUGUUACUUUUUGUUUUGAUUGAAACUGCUAUUGCCUUAUUGAAGUAGGACUAGUUUAUCAUUUACUUUAGUUGUUCCUCUUGGUGAAAGUCUGUUGAAAAUUAUUAAACGUACUCUUUGGUUGUGGGCGAUGAUUCUGAACGAAAUGAAAUUGAACUUAGAACAUAUUUGAAUUUAUGUUUGUUACCUUUAUUUUUUCUAUUGGAUCACUAAUUAUAUUUUAGGCUCGAUAACAAAUAGGCAAAUCUUGAAUAAUUGGGGUAGGUAAACAUAUACUAAGAAGAAUUAUGCAUAUUUUAGUUUUUGAGGUGCGAGGUCAUCUCUUUUAUUUUAUAUUCAGGGGAAUGCCCUAUAGAGUUUUUAUAUAUUAUUAUCUGGAGUAUGUCCCGUAGAACUAUGUAUAUAUUUUGGAGGCCUAGACGAGCAUGGUGGAGAAGUCAUAGUAUUGGUUAGCUUAGGAUUUUCUUUUCUUUUCCUUUUCAUUUUCUAUUAUUAAGUAGGGACGACCUUGAGACUUUUGUGUAUUUAUUUUUCUUUUCUGUGUUUAUUUUUAUCAAAUAUUUUAAAAGGCAACUCGAUCAUGUACGCAACUGUACUAGUUACGGGACUAGGAGAAUGCCUAACACCUUCUCCCCGAGAGAAAUGAACCCCCUUACCUAAAUCUCUGGUGCAGAAUUAGGUUUGGAGUCCAAAGUGUUUUAAAAAGGAAAAUUUAUUUUUCUUAAAAUGGUGAUCUGGCACACCGAAACCGAUGUCAGGUAGCGACCCUGAAAAAUCCUUUUGAACAUAUCUUUUUGUUCAAAAUUGAAAAUCCUUCCGAGCUUCCCAAAUUCUUUUAUUAUUUUUUAAUAGGGUUAAUUGAAUUUGGUAAAAAAGAGGCGUGACAGCUCUAGUGACUGCUGGGGAGUUGCAUGUUCGAGCUAGUACUUGAUCUUUCUUUUUAGAAUAUUCGAUUGAGGUUUUAUGUAUUUUGUGUGCUUUAUUUGAUUUUUAGUUUGUUUAUGCCGUUUUAUUUGCUAGUUGCUUAUUUGUUUACAACAUUUCCUUUAUGUGUUACUUCUUAAUAAAUUGUCAUCAUUUGCAUCACCUCGUGUCUUCUUUAUGCAACAAUUUGUAACGAUCUGACCGCUCGUUUUGAGAAAUUAAGCUCCGUGGCAUAAGCGCUAGAAUAUCUUUAGAAUAUAAGUGUCGACUUGCGUGCUUGGUGGAAUUCGACUAACGGAUGCUUUAGAGUCAAAUUGGAAGAAGGAAUAUAGUUUUGAAAGUUUGAACGCUGAAAAUUUGACCGGAAUUAGACUUUUGGUCAAAAUGGCCCCGGAAUUGGUCGUGGAUGAUGUCAACAACUUUGUAUGGUGGUUUUGGACGUAGGCGUGUGUCGGGAUUCAGAUUUGGAGGUUCGAAGGAUAAAUUUAGGCUUUUCAGCGAAAGUUGGAAAAAUGGAAGUUUGGAAAAUGAGAAAGUUUGACCCAUAGUUGACUUUUGUGAUAUCAGGGUCGAAAUGUAAUUUUGAUUGGAGCAGCUCCAUUAUGUCAUUUUUGGAUGUGUCUGCAAAAUUUGGCAUCAUUCCGGUUUAAUUUGGUAGGUUUCAGCACGAGUUUAGAAAUUUGAGGAUUUGAAAGUUUAUAAGUUCAAUUUAUAGUUUGAUUCAUCGUUUUGGUGUUGUUUUUUGUGAUUUGAAACAUCGAGUGAGUCUGUGUUAGGUUAUAUGACUUGUUUGUUUGAUUAGACGGGGUCCCGAGAGCCUCAGGUGCGUUUCGGAUGGACUAUGGAUAACUUUUCCCUAUUUUGGAACUGCUGUUUGCUGCUUAUGAUAUCCUUCAUCGCGAUCGUGAACUGCCUCUCGUAUUCCCGAUGCAUUGCUGCUGACUGCCUCGAAAUCCUUCUUCGCAUUCGCAUCUUUUCCUCCACUUUCGUGAAGCCCUACAUUCUUCUUCUUUGCGUUUGUGUCUCUCCUUUAGCAAUCGCGAAGCCUCACAUUUCUCUUCUCCGUGUUCGCGAGCUCAUCAUCGUGUUCGCGAUGAGCAACCUGGGCAGCCUUAAAAGUUUCUUCUACUCGAUCGCGACUCUUCUCCUGCGAUCGCAAUGCACAAAUACCUGGGCAGGCAGAAUAUAUCUCAAAGUCGAGUGUUUCACUAUUAUUAUUAUAUUUUGACUUCUAGAGCUCGGUUCUUGGCGGUUUUUGAAGGGAUUUUUACCUGGGCGACUUGGGUAAGGGAUUCUUACUCGGUUUAGACUAAUUUCUAUGAAUCUUCUCUUAAAUUCAUCCUUUAAUUUUGGAAUUUUGGUAUGAAUUGAGGGAAAAAUUCUUAGACCUAGAGAUUGGGUUUUAAUUGGGUAUCUGACAUAGGAUUGAGAUAAUUUUGAUAUGGUUAGACUUGUGAGAGUGUGAGAAUUCUAAAAAUAUUAAUUUAUCUGAUUUUGAGACAUGGGCCCGUGGGGCAUUUUGGUUAUUUUACAUAAUUUCGUGUAUUAACGUAGAAUUUAACUGUAAAUCAGUUACUCGAAGUGUUAUUUACAUUAUUAAGUUUAACUGAAUAGAUUUGGGCAAUUUGGAGUCGAGUACUCAUGGCGAGAAUGUGGUUUUUAGUUGGUUUUGAGUCGGUUCGAGGUAAGUAUCUUGCCUAACCUUUUGUGGGGGACUCCCCCUUAGGAUUGGAGUCUUCUCUGCUGAUUGUAAUCCGCUUACGCGAGGUGGCGAGUGCGUGUUUGGACUUAUUUUUGUAACAAAUUGGCCUUCUUAAGUUCUUAGGUCCUUAUAUUCACUGAGUAUGAAGUUGUUCUUGAUAUGAUUGAAUUUCCCUAUUACUAGUUUCACCUCUACAUGUUUUACUUGGAAUUAAUUGCUUUAUGGUUCAUUCUUAUUGCCUAAUUAACUCUUACUUAGCUUAAUUGACGAUCUUUACCCCUUCUAUUGUCACAAUCAUCUUUCAUAACUGCUUGUCUUUAUGAGAAAUUAUUAUUAUCAUCUGUCAUGUAAUUGUUUAGUCUUAAUUGAGGAUACGAUUAUCCUUGCGCUGCUCAAAAUUAAUUGCUUUAUAAUUCAUUCUUAUUGCCUAAUUGACUCUUACUUUGCGUAACUUAAGAUCUUUACCCCUUCUAUUGUCAUGAUUAUCUUUCAUAACUGCUUAUCUUUAUUGGAAAUUAUAAUUAUCUCUCAUGUAAUUAUUUAGUCUUAAUUGAGGUUACGAUUAUCUUCCCGCUGUUUAUCCUUAAUUGAAAUUGUUGUAUAUCCUUCGUAACUUGCCCAACUUUAAAAGAAGUUUAGAUAUCCUAUGUUUAGUUGACAUUCCUUAUUUGAAAUUAUUUGAUUCAUGUUAACUUUCUUGUUGUUGAACUACAUAUUAUGGAAUCGUUACUUCACAUUAUUUUCUCCCUUGUUGAGUUGUUAUUAUUACGUUUAGUAUUCUCUAUUGCAGUUAUUCCUUGUGAGUUAUUCUAAUCGACCCCUGAUGAGCUAUAGUUCUUGAGUUGAUUCACUAUUUGUGCUCUUGUAUAUAUUACCAUUGUUGUUGUUAUACUGGUGAUGGUGGUGCACGAGGUUUCUGCCAUGCGAUUGUAGUUGUGUUGUGCACGAGGUCUCUGCUAUGCAGUUGUGGUUGUGCUGUGCAUCAGGUCUCUGCCGUGUGGUUAGUGAGGGAUUGCACAAGGUCUUUGCCGUGCUAUUGUUGCUAUUAACAUACUUCAUAUGGGGCGUAACAAGGCGGGAUAUGUUUAUAUGCUUAUAUGUGGGUUUCGCAUGUGGCGAGAUAAGUGGGAACAUUAUGAUGCACGUAUGGCGAAACAAGGCAGGUACUUAUUAUGUUGUUAAUUGCACACAUGACGAUAUAAGGUGGGCUAUGGGGAUUGAUCGUGAUGAUUUGUGAUGGCCCGGGGGCAUUCUUGCUGUUUAGUGUGCUGAUUGUGGUACACUUACCGGUAUGAGCUUUAUCUUGUGAAAAUUGUAAGAAAACAUCGUACGUGCGGUCCGUUCUUCUUCUUACGCUUAUUAGCUGGUAGAGUUUUUGUUAAGGCACUUGUACAAGCAUGCACGUAGUUGAACGCUCCUACUGGACGUGAAGUCUUUCUGAUUUUGCUAAGUAUAGAUGUACGCCCUUGUUACUUAUUACAUAUAUGAGAGUUGUCCUAGUUAGCAAGUGAGUUGUCAGUAUGACCGUGGGGUUGAUGGGGGCACAAGACCUGAUGUGAACAUUGUUGUAGGGCUUGAGCUAUUGCUUUGUCUUCCUUUACUGUAUUGUAACUUUAGGAUUUGGGUUGUGAUUUUUCUCAUUCUUAUGUGUCUUCAUACUUAAUACUUUCGUGUUCACUUGUUGUUCUCUUCCCUUAUGGUGAUUAUAGCAUUGCUAUUCUUUUCGUGCAACCUUUAUAUAAAUAUAUAUCAUAAUCCGUUGUUCCUAUAAUUGUACUGUUUAUUAGAUUGGUAGGUGUCUUGACUGUUCCUUGGUAGUACCCCACCGAGGUUAGUCUUGAUACUUACUGGGCAUCACUGUGGUGUGCUCAUGCUACUCUUCUGCACAUUUUUAUUGUGCAAAUUCAGGUAUUUCCACUCUGUUCUAUCAUCCUUGGGAGGAG